Molecule: non-coding RNA, 745 nt
Organism: Leptonychotes weddellii (Weddell seal)
Lineage: Eukaryota; Metazoa; Chordata; Mammalia; Carnivora; Phocidae
Source: RefSeq, a predicted model, not a curated record
CGGGCUCCUCAGAGCCGGGGCCCGGGGCCCGUGAUAGACGGGCCGAGGAAAGGAGAGAGGCGGCGGCGCAGGCGACGGGGAGGCAGCGGCGACACCAUGUCAUCCCCCAGUCCGGGCAAGAGGCGGAUGGACACGGACGUGGUCAAGCUCAUUGAGAGUAAGCAUGAGGUUACGAUCCUGGGAGGACUCAAUGAAUUUGUAGUGAAGUUUUAUGGACCACAAGGAACACCAUACGAAGGUGGAGUAUGGAAAGUUAGAGUGGAUCUUCCUGAUAAAUACCCUUUCAAAUCUCCAUCUAUAGGAUUCAUGAAGAAAAUUUUCCAUCCCAACAUUGAUGAAGCGUCAGGAACUGUGUGUCUAGAUGUAAUUAAUCAAACUUGGACAGCUCUCUAUGAUCUUACCAAUAUAUUUGAGUCCUUCCUGCCCCAGUUGUUGGCCUAUCCCAACCCCAUAGAUCCUCUCAAUGGUGAUGCUGCGGCCAUGUACCUCCACCGACCAGAAGAAUACAAGCAGAAAAUUAAAGAGUACAUCCAGAAAUACGCAACGGAGGAGGCACUCAAAGAGAUGAGGCCCGGGAUAUGGAGUUGUAGUAGAAAAAGCACCUGCUUUUCAGAAAGACUAUUAUUUCCUAACCAUGAGAAGCAGACGAUAAUAUUCAUAUUUAAACAAAGCAAUUUGUUUUAUUACUAAACAAGGUUUUUAUGAAUAAUAGCAUUGAUAUAUAUAUUAUAUAUCACCCUUUAGA